GGCGAGUGAAGCGGGAAGAGCUCAAAUUUGUAAUCUGGUACUUUCAGUGCCCGAGUUGUAAUCUCGAGAAGUAUUUUCCGCGUUGGACCGCACACCAGUCUGUUGGAAUACAGCGUCAUAGUGGUGAGAACCCCGUAUCUGGUGCGGAUGCCCAAUGCUUUGUGAUAUACUUUCGAAGAGUCGAGUUGUUUGGGAAUGCAGCUCAAAUUGGGUGGUAAAUUCCAUCUAAAGCUAAAUAUUGGCGAGAGACCGAUAGCGAACAAGUACCGUGAGGGAAAGAUGAAAAGCACUUUGGAAAGAGAGUUAACAGUACGUGAAAUUGUUGGAAGGGAAACGCUUGAAGUCAGACUUGCAUUUCGGAGUUCAGCCGUAAGGUGUAUUCUUCGAUUCGCAGGCCAGCAUCAGUUUUCGGGGGUGGAAAAGCGCGGUUUGAAGGUAGCAGUUUCGGCUGUGUUAUAGCUUUCCGCUGGAUUCACUUUUGGGGACUGAGGAACGCAGUGUGCUUUUAGCAAGACUUUCGAGUCUUUCACACUUAGGAUGCUGGUGGAAUGGCUUUAAACGACCCGUCUUGAAACACGGACCA
RNAcentral lists this ribosomal RNA (583 nucleotides) under Microbotryum pustulatum. Its description in RNAcentral is "eukaryotic LSU rRNA". It matches the Rfam family "Eukaryotic large subunit ribosomal RNA", at positions 88 to 668 of the family's 3401-position model. Lineage: Eukaryota; Fungi; Basidiomycota; Microbotryomycetes; Microbotryales; Microbotryaceae. The record is from RNAcentral.